Ictalurus punctatus (channel catfish) is the source of this 2191-nucleotide long non-coding RNA. Lineage: Eukaryota; Metazoa; Chordata; Actinopteri; Siluriformes; Ictaluridae. The record is from Ensembl.
AAAUACAUAACACAAUAAAUACACUGGACAAAACAAAUACACAAGACAAAACAAUAAAUACACAGGAAAAUACAAUAAACACACAGGACAAUAAAUAAACAAAACAAUAAUUACAUAGAACAAUAAACAUACAGGACAAUACAAUAAACACACAGGACAAUAAAUACUCAGGACAAUACAAUAAGUACACAGAACAAUAAAUAAACAAAACAAAACAAUAAAUACACGGAACAAUAAACACACAGGACAAUAAAAUAAACACACAGGACGAAACAAACACACAGGACGGGACAAUAAAUACACAGGAUGGUAAAUACACAGGACAAUACAGUAAACACACAGGAAAAUACAAUAAAUACACAGGACAAAACAAUAAACACACGACAAUACACAAGACGGGACAAUAAAUUCACAGGACGAAACAAUAAGUACACAGUACGGGACAAUAAAUACACACAACAAUAAAUACACAGGACAAUAAUUACACAGAAUAAUAAAUAUACAGGACAAUUAAUACACAAAACAAUAAUUACUUAGAAUAAUAAAUAUACAGGACAAUUAAUACAAAGGACAAUAAAUAAACAAAACAAUAAAUACACAGAACAAUAAAUACAAAGGACAAUAAAUAAACAAAACAAAACAAUAAAUACACAGAACAAUAAACACAGGACAAAACAAUAAAUACACAGGACAAUAAAUACACAGGACAAAACAAUAAACACACAGGACAAAACAAUAAACACACAGGACAAAACAAUAAAUACACAGGACAAUAAAUACACAGGACAAAACAAUAAAUACACAGGACAAUAAAUACACAGGACAAAACAAUAAAUACACAGGACAAAACAAUAAAUACACAGGACAAUAAAUACACAGGACAAAACAAUAAACACACAGGACAAAACAAUAAACACACAGGACAAAACACACAGGACAAAACAAUAAACACACAGGGCAAUAAAUACACAGGACAAAACAAUAAAUAAAAAUGACAAAACAAUAAACACAGCACAAAACAAUAAAUACACAGGACAAUACACACACAGGAAAAAACAAUAAAUACACAAAACAAUAAAUACACAGGACAAAACAAUAAACACAGGACAAUAAAUACACAGGGCAAUACAAUAACCACACAGGACAAAAAAAUAAAUACACAGGACAAAACAAUAAAUACACAGGACAAUAAAUACACAGGACAAAACAAUAUUUACAUUUAUGGCAUUUUGGCCGACGCCCUUAUCCAGAGCGACUUACAUUUAUCUCAUUUAUACAUCUGAGCAGUUGAGGGUUAGGGGCCUUGCUCAAGGGCCCAACAGUGGUAUCUUAGCAGUGCUGAGGCUUGAACUUCUGACCUUCUGAUCAGUCACCCAGAGCCUUUAACCACUGAUCCACCACUUCCCCAAUAAAUAGAUAGGACAAAACAAAUACACUGGACAAUAAAUACACAGGACAAUCAAUACACGUGGCUGGUUUUCUAUGGCGUUCUGGAAGCACAGCAGCGUUUACAACGUCACUGUCUUCCAGUUCCCUUUUCCUCUUCUGCACAACCUGAACCGAGAAACACGACAAGAAGUUUCAAUCAAUAUCCUGUAUAAGCGUGUCUGACCUGCUUCUCCGACAGUUUACUUGCUGUACUCUACACAAAGUAAAGAGACGUUUCGACCUGACGCAGAGGCUCGGCAUGUUGUCUCUUACGAUUCCCACAGUAGUUCUGCUCUUGAGAAGGCAUUUCAGAAUCUUCCACAGAGAUCGCGCUCUGAACUCAGUUUGUGUCGAUCCUUAAAAUGGAAUAUCAUUCUUUUAGAAUUUUAGAACCAGAAUAGAAGAUGGGCUUCAGAACACUUGUGACCUCAGUUGACCUCUGCUGAGUUCAGUUCGUUCAUCAGUACACCAUCAAGAAAAUAACAGGACAGAGAAUCUGGAGAUGAUUUACUUCUAUCAUUCACAAAUUAUUAUAAAUAUAAUAAUAAUAAUAAUAAUAAUAACAACAACAACAACAACAACAAACAGACACAAAAGCCAAUUGCAUUUUAUAUGCAAUAAUGAGCAGUUGGAUAUGCAAAAAUAUGUUAAAUAAAUAAAUAAAUAAAUAAAUAAAUGAGUAAAAUAAAAAUAUUUUGAUGUGGUCAUCUUUGAGCCCCUUGAAUAGCCGAUGUUAGGCCUAUAACUGACUGCUGAAAGAAUG